RNAcentral lists this ribosomal RNA (497 nucleotides) under uncultured bacterium. RNAcentral's name for it is "bacterial SSU rRNA". It matches the Rfam family "Bacterial small subunit ribosomal RNA", at positions 95 to 606 of the family's 1533-position model. The record is from RNAcentral.
GUGGCGGACGGGUGAGUAACGCGUGAGUAACCUGCCUUGGAGUGGGGAAUAACACAUGGAAACGUGUGCUAAUACCGCAUAAAGCAUUUUGGUCGCAUGGCCAUGAAUGCCAAAGAUUUAUCGCUCUGAGAUGGACUCGUGUCUGAUUAGCUAGUUGGUGGGGUAAAGGCCCACCAAGGCGACGAUCAGUAGCCGGACUGAGAGGUUGACCGGCCACAUUGGGACUGAGACACGGCCCAGACUCCUACGGGAGGCAGCAGUGGGGAAUAUUGGGCAAUGGGCGCAAGCCUGACCCAGCAACGCCGCGUGAAGGAAGAAGGCUCUCGGGUUGUAAACUUCUUUUAUUCGGGACGAAACAAAUGACGGUACUGAAUGAAUAAGCCACGGCUAACUACGUGCCAGCAGCCGCGGUAAUACGUAGGUGGCAAGCGUUAUCCGGAUUUACUGGGUGUAAAGGGCGUGUAGGCGGGACUGCAAGUCAGAUGUGAAAUCCAGGG